AUUGAACGCUGGCGGAAUGCUUUACACAUGCAAGUCGAACGGUAGAGGGGGCAACCCCUCGAGAGUGGCGAACGGGUGCGUACUAUAUCGGAGCGUGCCCAGGCGUGGGGGAUAACGUAGCGAAAGUUACGCUAAUACCGCAUACGAUCUACGGAAGAAAGCGGGGGAUAGCAAGACCUCGCGCGAUUGGAGCGGCGGAUAUCAGAUUAGGUAGUUGGUGGGGUAAAGGCUCACCAAGCCAACGAUCUGUAGCUGGUCUGAGAGGACGACCAGCCUCACUGGAACUGAGACACGGUCCAGACUCCUACGGGAGGCAGCAGUGGGGAAUUUUGGACAAUGGACGCAAGUCUGAUCCAGCCAUUCCGCGUGCAGGAUGAAGGCCCUCGGGUUGUAAACUGCUUUUGUACGGAACGAAAAGGUUUCCAUUAAUACUGGGAGCUGAUGACGGUACCGUAAGAAUAAGCACCGGCUAACUACGUGCCAGCCGCCGCGGUAA
Molecule: ribosomal RNA, 496 nt
Filed under: uncultured bacterium
Lineage: Bacteria
Description: partial 16S ribosomal RNA
Rfam family: Bacterial small subunit ribosomal RNA
Source: RNAcentral